RNAcentral lists this ribosomal RNA (406 nucleotides) under uncultured bacterium. Its description in RNAcentral is "partial 16S ribosomal RNA". It matches the Rfam family "Bacterial small subunit ribosomal RNA", at positions 30 to 526 of the family's 1533-position model. The record is from RNAcentral.
AUUGAACGCUGGCGGCAGGCCUAACACAUGCAAGUCGAGCGAGCGGCGGACGGGUGAGUAAUGUCUGGGAAACUGCCUGAUGGAGGGGGAUAACUACUGGAAACGGUAGCUAAUACCGCAUACCAUCGGAUGUGCCCAGAUGGGAUUAGCUUGUGGGUGAGGGAACGGCUCACCUAGGCGACGAUCCCUAGCUGGUCUGAGAGGAUGACCAGCCAAACUGGAACUGAGACACGGUCCAGACUCUGACGGGAGUCAGCAGUGGGGAAUAUUGCAAAAUGGCCGCAAGCCUGAUGCGGCCAUGCCGCGUGUAUGAAGAAGGCCUUCGGGUUGUAAAGUACUUUCAGCGGGGAGGCGUUACCCGAAGAAGAAGCACCGGCUAACUCCGUGCCAGCCGCCGCGGUAAUAC